Molecule: long non-coding RNA, 242 nt
Filed under: Phoenix dactylifera (date palm)
Lineage: Eukaryota; Viridiplantae; Streptophyta; Magnoliopsida; Arecales; Arecaceae
Description: long non-coding RNA (PDAC_LNC021779)
Source: RNAcentral
AACUGGUCGAACUGAGCGGCUUCGACCAUCUGAAUGGGGGGUGGAACGGUGGAGUGUUGCUGAGAAUGUGUUGGAGACGCAGCGGCCUCCCGGCCGGAGGUGCGAGAGGCCCCGCGACCGGAGGCAUUGGAAGCUCCACGACCACCUCGCCGUGCCAUUACGAUCGCUCUAAGAUUCGGCCCUUCCUCUAGCGCCAACUGUUGCUGGUGGUCCAAACCGAGAACGAUUGGCACAGCGGUGUG